Molecule: long non-coding RNA, 388 nt
Organism: Suricata suricatta (meerkat)
Lineage: Eukaryota; Metazoa; Chordata; Mammalia; Carnivora; Herpestidae
Exons: 2
Source: RefSeq, a predicted model, not a curated record
GGACGUUCUAACACUUAACCACUGCAGUGGGCUCCAGAAGCAGCUUUAGCUAAGUGAAUCCCUGGCUGUUCCAUUAAUUUUUUACAAAGCUACACACGAAAGAGGGCUUCGUAAAUAUUUUAAACAAUCCUUGGGGGCUGAAGCUAAGUGCUUCUGCUUUUUCCCUCCUCUCUGCCGGGUGCUCUGUUAUCUCAGGAAAAGGCUGAAGUGGGAAACAGAGCAAAGAUGCCUGCUCACAAUCUCACAAUCCAGAUCUUUCUGGAUGGAGUGGGUUUAUGUGGACCAAAUAAAACACAAGUGCUCAUCAAGGGCCUCCUUCCCAGGAACGAAGUAUGAUUCUCAGCAUCUCCUCCCCACUUCUCCAAGCUAUUGAAGCUGUUGGAACCAC